RNAcentral lists this long non-coding RNA (6368 nucleotides) under Zostera marina. RNAcentral's name for it is "long non-coding RNA (ZMAR_LNC001846)". The record is from RNAcentral. Lineage: Eukaryota; Viridiplantae; Streptophyta; Magnoliopsida; Alismatales; Zosteraceae.
UAAUUUGCAGUGGUAGGUGCAGGGAAGGCCAUUGUGCGAACUAGCAUUAGAUAUUCUAGCUUAAUGUGUCCUAAGGAUAGAAAAAAAUAACCUACAAUCACAGUAAACUAAUGAAAAGAUUAGAAUAACAUUCACACCAAUAAAAAACAUCAAUUGAGGAUUUAUCAAUCACUAGGUUUUCCCAAUCAACGCUCAAUCCUAAAAAAUUAGAACAAAAAAACAGAUCAGGCCUCUAUCUAAGGUUUUUUUUUAUUUUUUUUUAUAAUGAGUAUACAGAUCAGACCUCUAUUAGAACUGGCCUAGUCUAGACCAAAGUAGGCUCUGAUACCAUCUAAAAUUGUUAUAAAUGAGAGUAUACAAUCUCUAAGUGAUAUAAGAACACAAGAACUUAUUUAUUUAAACAUAACAAGACUAAAACAGUUUACAGCAGAAAAUAUACCUAUGAAACUCUACUGAACUGUUAUUGAAAAUAUAUGAUCAAUUCAUACAUGAAACUACAGAACUGUUAUACAGUAGGAAGAAAAUACACAUUACCUAAACUAGUAUUAUUCGGAAUUGAAAGAUCUAAAAGAAACAUCGACGAGAAUCAACGAAAAAAUAUACAUUAAAGAAAACCAAAUAAACUUCUGUAAAGAACUCACGACCAGCAGACAAGAAUCACAAGAUCUGAUGUCAAGAAUUGAGGAGUGAUUUGUCGACAAACAGAGGAUCAGCAGAACCAGAGAAGACGAGAGUCGGCGAAACCCUAGAUCGGGAGAGCAGAAUAAAGAAUCGUAAAUGAGAAAACUUUAAAGAAAAAUGAAUUGAAAAUACCUGUGAGUGGAAUGCCCAAUUAAUUCUGGCAGCCUACCUUAUAUAAUACAUUAGCUGGAUAAUUAAUCGGAUAUCUUGGAUCUGAUUAAUCUGAUACAGUUUUCUCUUUCAGAUCCUCCCGCAAGUUCAGCAGGGAGUAAACCAGAUGAACUUGGAGUAGAUACUUCAAUGCUUGUGGCAAUCAGUUUUAAUUUUGUCUAUUUCUAUGUUGACGAAAUAAUUCAGUAUCCAGUACUUUGGUGAAUCCAUCAGCCAAUUGCAUCCCUGUAGGAACAUAUUUGAUUUGCAUUGCACCUUUCUCUAGUAAUUCUCUUACAAAAUAAUAAGCAAUAUCAAUAUAUCUUGACCUGCUAGUUAUUGUUGGAUUAGUUGCCAUAUAGAUGGCUGAUUUGUUAUCACACAACAAUAAUGGUAAUUUGGAAAAUUUUAAGUUUAAUUCCCGUAAUAAAAGACAGAACCACCUAAUCUCAGAGAUAACAUGUGAGAUAGCCUUAAACUCAGCUUCUGCACUAGAUAAGGAAACUGAAGGUUGCUUCUUUGCAGACCAUGACACCAAAUUUCCAUUCAGCCAUAUGCUAGACCCUGUGAUAGACCUUCUGUCCAUGGUUGCCCCCCAAUCAGAGUCACAAUAAGCCUCUAGAGUUAAGUUCUGACUCUAAUUUGCUGUGAAUCUCAACCCCAUAUUUGAAGUGCCUCUGAGGUAUCUAGCUAAAUACUCUUUUUAUUGCUUGUAAGUGACCCUCUAACGGAUUAUGAAGAUAUUGACAAAUUUGAUUUACUGCAAAGGAGAUAUCAAGCCUUGUCAAACUCAGAUACUAUAAGGACCCUACCAUGCUUCUGAAUAAUGUAAUAUCCUGAACUGACUCGCCUGUAAUCUCACACAUUCUAGGAGAUGGUAUCAUUGGUGUAUUUGUUGGUCUGGCCUUAUCAAACCCAUACCUUACUAAUAGGUCAUUGAUGUAUUUUUCCUGAGAUAUGACCAUUGACAAGCCUAUGUAGCAACAACAUUCAAUUCCUAAAAAGAAUUUCAACCUUCCCAACUCUCUACAAGAAAAUUAUGUACAAAUUGCUUUCAUUACUCUUGAUUUCUUCUGAAUCCCCACCUGUGACAAUGAUAUCAUCAACAUAUACUAAAAUAAUUAUUUUAGAUGAUGUUGAAUCCUUGAAAAACAUAGAAGCAUCAGUCUUUGAGUUUGUGAAUCCACUAUGAACUAGAAAAGUAUGUAACCUCAUAUACCAGGCCCUUGGUGCCUGCUUCAACCCAUAGAUGGCCUUAUGCAACAAACACACAUCUUUUGGCUUCUUUUUGUCCACAAAUCCAAUGGGUUGUUUCAUGUAGACUGUCUCUUGUAAUACACCAUUAAGAAACACAUUUCUCACAUCAAGUUGUUGUAGCUCCCAACCACAAUUUGUAGCCAAUGACAAUACUAUCCUUACUGUUGUAAUUUUUAUGACAUGAUUAUAGGUAUAGUGAAAAUCAAUGCCCUCUUCUUGUGUAAAUCCCCUAGCAACCAAUCUGGCCUUCAACCUGUCAACUGUUCCAUUAGCCUUCUUCUUGACCUUAUAAACCCAUUUAGAGCCUGCUAUAUUCAUAUCAGGAGAAUAGGGAACCAGAGUCAUGUUUUGUUAACAUGAAGUGCAUCCAUUUCUUCUUUCAUGGCUUCAAACCAGUAUCCAUGUUUAAUAGCCUGUGAAUAAGAUAAUGGCCCACACAAAGAAUUUAUAUUAGACAUAUUAGUAGAGUAAGAACCAAGCUUUUUGACGCGGCCAGGCGACCAGGCGAUGCCUGGGACCGCAUACCGCAUAUGCGACCGCCUGGUCGCAUAUGCGGUCCAAUAUGCAACAUGUAUUUUAAUCGCAAAAUACAGUACUACACGUUAGGUGUGUAACUGUGUAACUCGAUUUCUACCUUGGGCGAUUUCGCAAAAUACAGUAGCAGCGGAAGGCAAGCAGCAGUGGAAGGCAAGUAGCACCGGAAAUCCUUGGGCGAUUUCACGAUUUUAGUAGUAUUUGGGAUUUAGGGUUUUUUAUUUAAUUGGGUAUUUUUUAUAAGGUCCUUAAGUUUUAAAAAAUAAUAGAAUUCAUUUAAAUUUUUUCAAUUUUAAUAUUUUCACCUUGGGUAAAUGGAUCGGGUUUAGCCGGAUCCGACCCGGAUUCGGCUAAACCCAAUAAUAUGCGACCCCCCAAAUAUGCGAUGGGGGGUUACCGCCUGGUCGCAUAUGCGCUCGCAUAUGCGCGCAUAUGCGACAAAUCAAAAAGCUUGGUAAGAACAGUCAAAAUCCUUUAAAGUUACAUUAGGGAUUUUCAUUCUAACAGACCUUCUCAGAUCAUUGUUGGCUAUAUUUCUGGAAAGUUCAAUAACAGACCUAUCUAUUUGAGGUAUGUCAUCAGAUGGACUGUCAGGAAUAGUUGAUCCACCACCACCCCUAUUAGAGGAUGAUGAUAAAUCAGAAGAUCCUUCAACUGGACUAGUUGAUGAAUCAGAAGACACUUUAUCUGAACUAGAAUCAAAUGAUGUACUUGACUGACCUUGUUUAAAAGAACUAAAUAAGAUAUCAGUUUCAUUAGAAGACCCAUUUGAUGGAUUUACCCCAUUUUCAGAACUUACUGGUGAAUUUCUGUUUUUAUUCAUUCCAUUGUUAUUUAUAGGCAAAGAUAUAGUGAGUUUGGUGGGUUGUUGAUUUUGUGGAUUUUGCAUUGUGGAAUCUAUAGUAUGUAGUUUGCUUUUCUCAAGGUUUGAUUUUUCCAAAAAAGAAAAUACAGACUAAUCAAAUAUAACAUCUCUGGACACUGUUAUUUUUGAUGUAUCUAGAUGUAGGCAUCUAUACUCUUUCUGUUGGGUGGCAUAACCUAAGAAUACACAUUUAGUAGCUUUGGGUUGCAAUUUAUUUCUUUGGUGUCUAGGAAUGAGUGGGAAACAAAGACAACCUAUGGUUUUCAAAAGAGUGUAAUCAGGUUUCUUUUUGAAGAGUAUUUCAAAUGGUGUUUUGUUUUCUAACAUAGGGGUUGGUAGUCUGUUCAAGACAAAGAUAGCAGAGGUAUAAUACCUCUGGCUAGUACAUAUAUGGAAUCUUUGAUUGUUUAAAAAUACACCUGCUGAUUUCCACUAUUUGUCUAUGCUUCCUUUCCACAAUCCCAUGUUGUUAUGGAGUAUAUGCACAAGACAUUCUAUGUCUGAUCCCUUUUUCCUGAAAUAAUUCUUUAAUAUUCUGAUUUAAAAACUCUCCUCCCAUAUCUAUUUGAAUUUCCUUGAUUUUAUUUUCCAGUAAAUUUUCAACCUGCUUCUGAAAUAUUAUAAACACCUUGUAGAAAUCUGACUUCUUAUUCAUUGGGAUAAUCCAACUAAAUCUAGAAAAUUCAUCCACAAAAGAUGCAUAAUAAAGAAAGGAGUUAUCAUUGCUCUGAGCUGAUGCAGACAUUGCUAAAAUGGGAGAUGAAUCGUUGACUUGAGGAUGAGAAAUAGAUGCUUGCUGGCCAAAUUCUGUAACUAUUGUUUCUGCCAGAUGAGCUGGGAAAUUAUGUAAAUCAGGACAUGUUUUAGCUAGAUGUCCUUUCUUGUACACAUUUGACAAGCAAAAUUCUGGUCUAUAGAGGAUGGUGUUUGCAGAAUUGGUGGUAACUGUGGAACUGUUACUGCAGGAACAACAGAUUAAUAAGUUGGUUGUGACAGUGCUCUCUGACCAUUAGAUCUUGGUUGAUAACUUGGUUGAAACUGAGCUCUUGAUGGAUUCUGAAAAUACUGUCCAGAUUUGUAACCAAAUUGUGGUCUUGAUCUGUAAAAAUUCUGUUCUGGUUAAUUGUAACCAUUGUAGGAUUGAGUACCAUUAUAUGCUCCAUUAUAUCCUCCAUAAAAAUUGUUUGGAGGACCAUAAUUGUGAUUUCCAAAAUUCUGAUAUCCAUUUCCUGUUCCAUCGUAAUUACCUUGCUGAUUGUAAUUAAAAUUCUGACUGCCGUAACCGUGUCCACCUCUUCCUCUUCCAAAAUUUUGAUUAUUUCCUCUGGGUUGAUAGUGAGCAGCAAAUGCUGUUACCUGUGUUUCUGUUUGUAUCUUUUUCAGUAGAUUUUCCUCACCAACUAAUAAAUUUGUCAAUUCAUCAAAACUAGUUGUACCUCUGGAUCUAAUGGUAGUGACAACUAUAUGAUAAUCACUUCCUAGCCCAUUCAAAACACAAGCCAUUAAUUGACUGUCACUUGUCACCUCACCAGUUGAACCAAGGGAUUCCACCAAUCCCUUAGCCUUUACUAAGUAAUCUUGCAUAGAUUCAGUGGUAGCUUUCUUUAGAUUAUUUAAUUGAUUCCUUAUCACUUGUACUUGAGUUUUGCUAACUGGUGACAACAAUUUCUCUCAUAUAUUCCAUCCAUCAAAGGCUGAUUUACACUUCAACAUCAUGAGUUGGUAUGGAUUCGAUACUGUGGCUUUUAACCAACCUAGGACUAAAUCAUCCUUAGUUUCCCAUUCUUCAAAUUCAGGAUUUAUAAUAUCAUCCUCUAACCUUCUCACAGGAAUCUGCUCAGUACCAGAUAUCAGAGGUAAUAGCUUGUGAACUCGCAGUGCACAUUCAAACUGAUUUUUCCAGCAGAGAUAAUUACCUUUAUCCAUCUUAUCAGGAACAAGACUAAAAAUGUUGUAAUUUGCAGUGGUAGGUGCAGGGAAGGCCAUUGUGCCAAUUAACAUUAGAUAUUCUUGCUUAAUAUGUCCUAAGGAUAGGAAAAAAUAACCUAAAAUCACAGUAAACUAAUGGAAAGAUUAGAAUAACAUUCACACCAGUAAAAAACUUCAACUGAGGAUUUAUCAAUCACUAGGUUUUCCCAAUCAACCCUCAAUCCUAAAAAAUUAGAACAAAAAAAUAGAUCAGACCUCUAUCUAUGGUUUUUAUUUUAUUUUUAUAUAUAUAAUGAGUUACAAAACAGACCUCUAUUAGAACUGACCUAGUCUGGACCAAAGUAGGCUAUGAUACCAUCUAGAAUUUGUAUAAAUGAUAGUAUACAAUCUCUAAGUGAUAUAAGAACACAAGAACUUAUUUAUUUAAACGUAACAAGACUAAAACAAUUUACAGCAGAAAAUAUACCUAUGAAACUCUACUGAACUGUUAUUGAAAAUAGAUGAUCAAUUCAUAUAUGAAACUACAGAGCUCUUAUACAGUAGGAAGAAAAUACACAUUACCUAAACUAGUAUUAUUCGGAAUUGAAAAACCUAAAAGAAACAUCAUGAGAAUCAACGAAGAAAUACACAUUAAAGAAAACCAAAUAAACUUUUGUAAAGAACCAGCAGACAAGACCUGAUGUCAAGGAUUGAGAAGGAGUGAUUUGCCGAUGAACAGAGGAGCAACAAAAUCCGAGAAGAUGAGAGUCGGCGAAACCCUAGAUCGGGAAAGCAGAAUGAAGAAUUGUAAAUGAGAAAACUUUAGAAAAAAAUGAACUGAAAAUACCCGUGAGUGGAAUACCAAAUUAAUACUGACAGCCUGCCUUAUAUAAUACAUUAGCUGGAUAAUUAAUCGGAUAUCUUGGAUCCAAUUAAUCUGAUACAGUAUCCUCUUUCAGAAGUACCAGCUGCG